RNAcentral lists this ribosomal RNA (1017 nucleotides) under uncultured organism. RNAcentral's name for it is "bacterial SSU rRNA". It matches the Rfam family "Bacterial small subunit ribosomal RNA", at positions 356 to 1376 of the family's 1533-position model. The record is from RNAcentral.
GAGGAAUAUUGGUCAAUGGACGAGAGUCUGAACCAGCCAAGUAGCGUGAAGGAUGACUGCCCUAUGGGUUGUAAACUUCUUUUAUACGGGAAUAAAGUGAGGCACGUGUGCCUUUUUGUAUGUACCGUAUGAAUAAGGAUCGGCUAACUCCGUGCCAGCAGCCGCGGUAAUACGGAGGAUCCGAGCGUUAUCCGGAUUUAUUGGGUUUAAAGGGAGCGUAGGCGGACGCUUAAGUCAGUUGUGAAAGUUUGCGGCUCAACCGUAAAAUUGCAGUUGAUACUGGGUGUCUUGAGUACAGUAGAGGCAGGCGGAAUUCGUGGUGUAGCGGUGAAAUGCUUAGAUAUCACGAAGAACUCCGAUUGCGAAGGCAGCUUGCUGGACUGUAACUGACGCUGAUGCUCGAAAGUGUGGGUAUCAAACAGGAUUAGAUACCCUGGUAGUCCACACAGUAAACGAUGAAUACUCGCUGUUUGCGAUAUACAGUAAGCGGCCAAGCGAAAGCGUUAAGUAUUCCACCUGGGGAGUACGCCGGCAACGGUGAAACUCAAAGGAAUUGACGGGGGCCCGCACAAGCGGAGGAACAUGUGGUUUAAUUCGAUGAUACGCGAGGAACCUUACCCGGGCUUGAAUUGCAACUGAAUGAUGUGGAGACAUGUCAGCCGCAAGGCAGUUGUGAAGGUGCUGCAUGGUUGUCGUCAGCUCGUGCCGUGAGGUGUCGGCUUAAGUGCCAUAACGAGCGCAACCCUUAUCGAUAGUUACCAUCAGGUUAUGCUGGGGACUCUGUCGAGACUGCCGUCGUAAGAUGUGAGGAAGGUGGGGAUGACGUCAAAUCAGCACGGCCCUUACGUCCGGGGCUACACACGUGUUACAAUGGGGGGUACAGAAGGCAGCUACCUGGUGACAGGAUGCUAAUCCCAAAAGCCUCUCUCAGUUCGGAUCGAAGUCUGCAACCCGACUUCGUGAAGCUGGAUUCGCUAGUAAUCGCGCAUCAGCCAUGGCGCGGUGAAUACGUUCCCG